This 454-nucleotide small RNA is filed under the name Pongo abelii (Sumatran orangutan). Its description in RNAcentral is "processed transcript". The record is from RNAcentral. Lineage: Eukaryota; Metazoa; Chordata; Mammalia; Primates; Hominidae.
ACUGUGCCAACAUGGCGGCGCCCAGAUCGUAAUUCGGAAAACGUGCACCCUGACUAAUUCGGUUUUCUGUGGCUACAAGAGCAGGCUUGGCGGGCGGAGGCGCCAGCGGAUGUCUCAUGCAAGGAUCGUCUCUGUGGCUAAGCCUCACUUUCCGCUCCGCCCGGGUGCUCUGUAGAGCCCGGUUUUUCGAGUGGCAGUCCCCAGGGCUGCCGAAUCCAGCAGCGAUGGAAAACGGCACCGGGCCCUACGGAGAAGAACGCCCACGUGAAGUCCAGGAGACGACAGUCACCGAGGGGGCUGCCAAAAUCGCCUUUCCCAGCGCCAACGAGGUCUUUUAUAACCCGGUGCAGGAAUUCAAUCGGGACCUGACGUGAGCAGGGGUCAGACGUUAGCCUGGCAUCGGCUGGUGGGAAGGCCUGCAUGUGCUGGAAGGCCUGGCAGCUUCGGGCCUACG